This 373-nucleotide ribosomal RNA is filed under the name Geoclemys hamiltonii. RNAcentral's name for it is "partial 12S ribosomal RNA". It matches the Rfam family "Bacterial small subunit ribosomal RNA", at positions 795 to 1364 of the family's 1533-position model. Lineage: Eukaryota; Metazoa; Chordata; Testudines; Geoemydidae. The record is from RNAcentral.
CUUAGCCCUAAACCCAGACAUUUAAUAUACAAAAAUGUCCGCCAGAGAACUACGAGCAAGACGCUUAAAACUUAAAGGACUUGGCGGUACCUCAAACCCCCCUAGAGGAGCCUGUUCUAUAAUCGAUAAUCCACGAUACACCCUACCAUCUCUUGCCAAUCCCGCCUAUAUACCGCCGUCGCCAGUUUACCCCAUGAGGGAUUUAAAAGUAAGCAAAAUAGCUAAAAAGCUAGUAAGUCAGGUCAAGGUGUAGCUAACUGAGAUGGGUGAAAUGGGCUACAUUUUCUACAUUAGAAAUAUUUACGGAAGGAAGCUAUGAAACUAGUUCCACAAGUAGGAUUUAGCAGUAAACCUGGAUUAGAAUGCCUAGUUU